This 397-nucleotide ribosomal RNA is filed under the name uncultured bacterium. RNAcentral's name for it is "partial 16S ribosomal RNA". It matches the Rfam family "Bacterial small subunit ribosomal RNA", at positions 523 to 918 of the family's 1533-position model. The record is from RNAcentral.
AUACGUAGGUGGCAAGCGUUGUCCGGAAUUACUGGGCGUAAAGCGCGCGCAGGCGGUCCUUUAAGUCUGAUGUGAAAGCCCACGGCUCAACCGUGGAGGGUCAUUGGAAACUGGGGGACUUGAGUGCAGAAGAGGAAAGUGGAAUUCCAAGUGUAGCGGUGAAAUGCGUAGAGAUUUGGAGGAACACCAGUGGCGAAGGCGACUUUCUGGUCUGUAACUGACGCUGAGGCGCGAAAGCGUGGGGAGCAAACAGGAUUAGAUACCCUGGUAGUCCACGCCGUAAACGAUGAGUGCUAAGUGUUAGGGGGUUUCCGCCCCUUAGUGCUGCAGCUAACGCAUUAAGCACUCCGCCUGGGGAGUACGGUCGCAAGACUGAAACUCAAAUGAAUUGACGGGG